RNAcentral lists this ribosomal RNA (354 nucleotides) under Pipunculus zugmayeriae. Its description in RNAcentral is "partial 12S ribosomal RNA". The record is from RNAcentral. Lineage: Eukaryota; Metazoa; Arthropoda; Insecta; Diptera; Pipunculidae.
AAAAAUUAAAUUUUGAAUAUUAAAGUAGUAAUAGUUAAGUUCUUGAAAUUUAAAAAAUUUGGCGGUAUUUUAGUCUAUUCAGAGGAACCUGUUUAGUAAUCGAUAGUCCACGUUGGACCUUUCUUAAAUUUGUAAAUUAGUUUAUAUAUCGUUGUUUAUAGAAUAUUUUAUAAAAAAAAUAAUUUUCAAGAUUUUCAAUAAAAAUAUAUAUCAGAUCAAGAUGUAGCUUAUAUUUAAGUUUAAAAUGGGUUACAAUUUUUUUAUUAUUGGAUUUAAUUUUGAAAAAAAUUAUUGAAAUUGGAUUUGAUAGUAAAUUUAUAAAGAUAAAUAAUUUGAUUCAAGCUCUAAAAUAUG